Molecule: ribosomal RNA, 330 nt
Filed under: uncultured bacterium
Lineage: Bacteria
Description: bacterial SSU rRNA
Rfam family: Bacterial small subunit ribosomal RNA
Source: RNAcentral
AAGUCGGAGGUGAAAUCCCACAGCUUAACCUUGGAACUGCCUUUGAACUGUUUGACUUGAGUAUGAUAGAGGAAAGUGGAAUUUCUAGUGUAGAGGUGAAAUUGCGUAGAUAUUACAAAGAACACCGAUUGCGAAGGCAGCUUUCUGGAUCAUUACUGACACUGAGGAACGAAAGCGUGGGUAGCGAACAGGAUUAGAUACCCUGGUAGUCCACGCCGUAAACGAUGUGUGCUAGACGUUGGAAAUUUAUUUUUCAGUGUCGCAACAAAAGCGUUAAGCACACCGCCUGGGGAGUACGACCGCAAGGUUAAAACUCAAAUGAAUUGACGG